CGUGAGCUUCCCGGAGGUGCUUUACGGCUGCGUUUGCAAAGCGCAGCGCCAAGUACUGGAGGGCGAGUCAGAAAGGUAGGAUCGCCCUCCCCACCCCUACAAGGUUACAGUCUACAGGAUGGACAGGGAGGGAACCGGGAACGCGAUAGUAAGCCGCGGUAAUGAAAGACCAUCAGGCUCUAAAUAGAUUGCAGGCUUCGUGAGCUGAGAGUUAAAAGAAGUAAUUCUCUCUGGGGAUCAGGGUAGGUGGUUGUGGAUUGAGCUCAGAAGCAUGGAUAGGAUUGAUGUUAGUUACCAAGAAAAAGGGAAAGUGUUCACAUUUACGGCACUUAGUUAUAUAGAUAAACUAUUAAAGUAUAAUUUAUUAAGCUCAGGGCAGUGGAUAAAGGAGCCAGAGCCCCUAACUACUUGUUGGGGCCGUUGAAGGCUUCAAGAAGGAAUUCAAGCUUGGGUAGGAUUUUGCAGGAAGAGAAGGGGAGAGUGUACAAAGCCCUGGAUGUAUGCAGAGUUCCGCUGAAGUAAACAGAGUGUCCGUUUUGUGUCAGGUAGAGUAUUCUUAGGUGGUGAGACUAAGUAUUCUGGCCAUAAAGAAGACCAAAGCACUGCCCUCAAGGAUUUUUAUCUCUGUGGAGACUUGAAUAUUUAAUGAUUAGAUGUAUUCUCAGGAUUCUCUGGGAGUCUCCUAGCUUUCAGGGACGUCUUCGCGGAGGCGGCAAUAAAGCAGAAAGUGUGAUUGGUAUAUUUGAAGAGCCAGUAAGUAGUAAAAAUGAUGUGGGUGGGUAACUGGGCAGGAGAUUGUAAAUUUAAGGGUAGUCAUACUUUCUGGCAGAUCUUGAAGGACUAUGGAAGUCAUGCCAAUCUGGGUAUAAGCAACUGUAAAAUAUUGCAAAAGAAAAGUGAUGUGAACAGACUUUUUAAAAAGAUAAAUUAGAUGGACAGAUGAAUAAAUAAGCUAGAGAAAGGAUAGCGAUGGGGACCAGUUCAGAGGUUGAAAUUGUAGCUCAUUAAUAUCAGUCAAAUGAGAAAUUUUGAGAUCCAGAGCUUUAAUGGUACAGGGAGAGGACAUCUGUUAGAGAUAUUUAAAAGAUGAGAGUGAAAGAACCUGCCUGCUGCCAGAGAUACCCUAAAUUUGAGAUUUGGGUAACUGUAAGGUAAGAUGUACAGGAGGAGGAGGAGCAGGGUUUCCAGGAGGAGGACGAUGAGUUCAGUUUUGGGGUCUUCAGUGGUUGGUGUCCUUAGUGAAAGAAUCUUUAGAAGGUAGAUGUUAGGGGCACCCGGGUGGCUCAGUCGGUUGAGCAUCAGACUCUUGAUUUCUGCUCAGGUCAUGAUCUCACUAUUGUGAGAUCGAGCCCUGAGUCAGGCUCUGCAUGGAGCCUGCUUGAGAUUCUCUUUCUCUCUCCCUCUGCCCUUCCCAUGCGCAUGCGUGCACAACUCUGUCUCUCUAAGAUGACUGACUGACUGACUGAAUGAAUAAAUAAAUAAAUAUAUAAAUAAAUAACAUUUUUAAAAAGAAGGAAGAUAUUAAAAGCUGCAUUCUAGAGGCACCUGGCUGGGUCAGUCAGAAGAGCCUGUGACUCUUGAUCUCUCGGUUGUGAGUUCAAGUCCCACAUUGGGUGUAGAGAUUAUAAAUAAGUAAGCAACCUUUUUUUUUUUACAAGGCCUAAUUCUAGGGAAUUGAGUAUGAAUGGGAGGUGAAGAGGGGGAGGCAGCAUGUGCAGCCUGCUUUUUGAAUGUGCUUCUGUCCUCUAGACCAGUAGCCUACAAGACAUGACACUUGGAAGUCUCUUAGAUCCCACACAUUCAGCUUAUUCAAUGUGGGAAGAUAUAAAAAAGAAAAUGUAGCAGUAAGUGUGUUGUAGAACCUAUAUGGUAGCUAUAUGGGUGUUCACUAUACAGUCUGUCAACUUUUCUGCAGUUUUGAAGUUUUUCAUAAAAUAUUGGGAAAGAUAAUAUCUCUACCCUCCAACUCUUCCUACCCCAGUGGGCCCCAUCUCAGUAAACAGAACCACCAUCUAUUCAGUUGUUUAGGCAAGAGACCUGGGAAUCACUUUCCUUCUCCCUUCUAUUCCAGGCAGUCACCAAAUCUCCUAAAUAGCUCUUAAAUCUGUCAACAGUGCGGGUGCCUGGGUGGCUCAGUCAGUUAAGCUUCUGACUUCAGCUCAGGUCAUGGUCUUGCAGUCUGUGAGUUCAAGCCCUGCAUAGGGCCCUGUGCUGACAGUUCAGAGCCAGGAGCCUGCUUCAGAUUCUGUGUCUCCCUCUCUCUCUGCCCCUUCCCUGCUCAUGCUCUGGCUGUCUCAAAAAUGAAUAAAUGUUGGGGCGCCUGGGUGGCUCAGUCGGUUAAGCGUCCGACUUCAGCUCAGGUCACGAUCUCGUGGUCCGUGAGUUCGAGCCCCGCGUCGGGCUCUGUGCUGACAGCUCAGAGCCUGGAGCCCAUUUCACAUUCUGUGUCUCCCUCUCUCUCUGCCCCUCCCCCGUUCAUGCUCUGUUUCUCUCUCUCUGUCUCAAAAAUAAACGUUAAAAAAAAAAUUAAAAAAAAAUGAAUAAAUGUUAAGAAAAAAAAAAGUUUAAAUCCAUCAACAAUGGAGUUGUACCUUAUACCAAAUUUAGGUUCUAAAAGCAGUACAUAAGGCAGAAGUUACAUAGUGAACAUAACCUUUGGAAAUCCCUUAAAUCACUCAGAAGAUACAGUGGCCAUAUUCUUAUGUGUACAACUCUGUACACAAAAUGUAUAUAUAAGUAUAUAUGUACAUAGUAAGGUACAGUAUGUGAUAAGGGUAUAUAAUAUAACAUUAAGGUAUUUUUAACUUCAUAAAAAAAGGGAGAUUGGGGCACUUUGGUAGCUCACUUGGUUGAGCACCGACUUUGGCCUAGGUCAUGAUCUCAGUUUUGAGCCCCACCGCGGAUUCUGUGCUGACAGCUCAGAGCCUAGAGCCUGGAGCCCGCUUCAAAUUCUGUCCCCCCACCUCUCUCUGCCCCUCCCCCUCUCAUGCUCUGUCUCUGUCUCUCAAAAAUAAAUUAAAAUGUAUAAAAAAUUAUUUUAAAAGUCCCCUUUUAUUCCUAGUUUGCUAAGAGUUUUGUUUUGGUUUGUUUUUAAAAAUUGUUAAUUUCUAGCCCCAAUAUGAGGCUCGAACUCAACCCUGAGAUCAAGAGUUGGACACUCUACCAACUGAGCCAGCCAGGCACACUCACUAAGAGUUUUGUAUCAUAAAUAUAUGUCAAAUUGUAUUAAAUAUUUUCCCUGCAGCUAUGGGGAGGAUGCAUGAUUUUUCUUGUUUGGUUUGUUAAUAUGGUAAAUUCAUUAAUUGAUUUUUUUUUAAGUUAAACUUAGCUUGUAUUACUAAAAUAAUAAUAAACACAACUUGGACAUGAUGUGUCAUUCGUUUUUAUAUAUUGCUGGAUUCAACUUCCUACUGUAUGUUUUAGAAUUUUUGUAUCAUUUUUCAUGAAUGGGAUUUACCUGUGUUUAUCUUCCUCAUACUGCCUUUAUCAGUUUUUAGUAACAAGAUGACAUAUUUCGUGGUUUUUAUGAGGUGGUCAGUUAGAUGCAGCCACAGAAGAGACAGAACGGGGGCAGGGGGGAACUCACAGGUCCUAGAAACAGGAGACACAAAGCCAUUUUUGUAGAUUAAAAAAAAAAACAAAAAACAAAAAACAAAAAACUUUCACAUUGGAAAGAUACCAAAGUCAGGAGGCAGAAGGGAUGUGAGAAGGUUUAGGCUACAGACUUUAUUGGGGUUUCUGGGGAAAAGGCAAGGCAGGGAAGGGUUUAGCACUGACUAGUUGGAAUAAUUUUGACCAGCUUUGGAUUAGAGGGCUGGUCCCUAGCUGCCUGGCACCUAGCCCUGGGAUGAUUAAGGCAGAGGAGUAUUGCCUCCUGGAGUGAAAAAGGCAGGACAGAGGAGGGACAGCUCUGGGAUGAUGCUCUCAGCUGGGCCAUCUCUUAAGAAUUGUCUCUCAGGGCGCCUGGGUGGUCAGUGGGUUAAGCAUCUGACUCUUGAUUUCAGCUCAGGUCACGGUCGGACUCUGUGCUGACAGCAUAGGGCCUCCUUGGGAUUCUCUGUCUCCCUCUCUUUCUGGCUCUCCCCUGCUCACGCUCUCUCUUUCAAAAAUAAACAUUAAAGAGAAGAAGAAGAAGAAUUGUCUCUCCCAAGCCGGAAAAAAUUCUUCUAGAAUGUCAAAACGUAGUAAUAUAUAGAAAGUUUUACGUUAUUUAAACUGGUGCAUUAUCUAGUUGAAUCCGUGGAACAGGUGAGCUCAGGGUCCUCCUAUUCCAUCUUCCCUUUCUUCAAAAGUUUUAAAAAUAUAUUUUAUAUUUUAUACAAAAAUUAAUAAUUUUUUAUAAAUAUUAAAUGUAAAAACAUAUUUACAAUAUAUUGUAUUGGGCUCAAAAUAAGUUGGCGAAAGUAAUUACUACUUUUCUCUGAAAGGGUUUGCACAAUACUGACCUCAUUGUCUUCUGUAAAUAUUUGAUAGUUUGAUAGAAGUUGCUGAGGAAGCCAUGUGGGACGGGGAAAAUUUUAAACUGGUGGUAAAUUCAUUUAAGUUACUGGUCUUUUCAGAAUUCCUAUUUUUUCCUUGGGUAUUUUAUAAAUUGUCUUUUUCCCCCUCGGGGAUGUAUCCAUUCCAUAAAAAUUUUCCAGUGCUUUAGUGUCAAGUUCCUAAUAUCCUCUUGGUUUCUUCUGAAGGUCUGCAGGGACUAUAGUAAUGCCCUGUUUUUCAUUUUCAUUCCUUACAGGGUUCAUUUGUGUCUUCUCUCUCUCUCUCUCUCUCUCUCUCUCUCUCUCUCUCUCUGUCUCUCCCUUUGUUUUCUUUUUCAUUUGACCAAAGGUUGAUCAGUUUCAUUAGUCUUCUCAUAGUACCAGCUUAUUUUAUUUUUAUUCUAUUGUGUGUAAUGUAUGCUUUCAAUUAUCUUUAUUAUUCCCUUAUUUCCAAUUUCAUCAAGUUUAACUUGCUGUUUUUCUACUUUUUGAUGCAUCUAAGUUCAUUAAUUUUCAAAUUUUCUUCUUUUCUGAUUUAACUAUGUAAGGCUAUAAAUUUCCAUCAAUAGCUUGUAACCCACAACCUUUGAUAUGUAAUAUUUUUUAAUUCUUUAUUUCAGGCUUUGUAAUUUAAUUCUGAUUUCUUCUUUGAUUCAUGAGUUAUUUAGAAGCAUAUUAUUUUAUUUCCAAACAUCUGGGGUUUUUUAGCUGUCCUUUUGUUUCUGAUGUCUAACAUAAUUGUGUCGUGCCUAACAAAUGAACUCUGGAUGAUUUUAACCCUUUGGAUUUGUUGAAACUCGCUUUAUGGCUUAGUAUAUGGUCACUUAUAAAUACUUUGUGUGUGUUUGAAAAGAAUGUGUAUUUUUGCAGUUUUUCAGAUAUAGUAUUCUUCAACGUUUAUUUAUUUUUGGGACAGAGAGAGACAGGGGAGGGGCAGAGAGAGAGGGAGACACAGAAUCGGAAACAGGCUCCAGGCUCCGAGCCAUCAGCCCAGAGCCUGACGCGGGGCUCGAACUCACGGACCGCGAGAUCGUGACCUGGCUGAAGUCGGACGCUUAACCGACUGCGCCACCCAGGCGCCCCCCAGAUAUAGUAUUCUUUAUAUUUGUUUGGUACAUAUAGUUAAUAAUAUUAUUCAAAUCUUCUAAAUCUUUACUGAUUUUCUUAUCUAUUGAAAGAGUAUGUGAAAAUCUCUACUAUGAUCAGGUAUUUGUUUACUUUAGUUUUUGCUUUAAAUACAUUGAGAUCAUGUUAUUGGGUACAAAAAAAUUAGAAUUAUUAUAUAUUCCUGGUAAAUUGAACCCUUGAACUUUUUGUUUCUUAAACCAUUGAACCUUUUUAUAAUUAUGAAGUAUCUUUAUCUUUAGUAAAGAGCAUAACAGUUGGAUCUAAAAAAAAAAAAAAAAGUCCUGGGACACCUGGGUGGCUCAGUUGGUUGAGCAUCUGACUUCAGCUCAGGUCAUGAUCUUACAGUUCGUGAGUUUGAGCCCUGUAUCAGACUCUGUGCUGACAGCUUAGAGCCUGGAACCUGUUUUGGAUUCUGUGUCUCCCUCCCUCUCUGCCCCUCCCCUGCUCACACAGUCUCUCUCCAUUUCUUUCUUUCUUUCUUUCUUCCUUCCUUCCUUCCUUCCUUCCUUCCUCCCUCCCUCCCUCCCUCCCUCCCUGGGAUGUAAUUCGCUUACCAUAUAACUCACUCAUUUAAAGUAUACAGCUAGGAGUGCCUGACUGGCUCAGUUGGUAGAACAUGCAGGUCUUGAUCUCAGGAUUGUGAGUGCGAGCCCCACAUUGAAUGUAAAAUAAAAAAAAGUAAAAUAAAUAAAUAAAUUAAUAAAUAAAUAAGUAUACAAUUAAAUGGGUUUUCAAAUUUUUUAAAUGUUUUUAUUUUUUUUUUAAUUUUUUUUUCAACGUUUUUAUUUAUUUUUGGGACAGAGGGAGACAGAGCAUGAAUGGGGAAGGGGCAGAGAGAGAGGGAGACACAGAAUCGGGAACAGGCUCCAGGCUCUGAGCCAUCAGCCCAGAGCCUGACGCGGGGCUCGAACUCCUGGACCGCGAGAUCGUGACCUGGCUGAAGUCGGACGCUUAACCGACUGCGCCACCCAGGCGCCCCAAUGUUUUUAUUAUUUUUAACAUUUAUUUAUUUUUGGGACAGAGAGAGACAGAGCAUGAACGGGGGAGGGGCAGAGAGAGAGGGAGACACAGAAUCCGAAGCAGGCUCCAGGCUCUGAGCUGUCAGCACAGAGCCCGAUGCGGGGCUCGAACUCACAAACAGUGAGAUCGUGACCUGAGCCAAAGUUGGAUACUUAACCAACUGAGCCACCCAGGCGUCCCUAAGUGGGUUUUUAGUAUAUUCACAAAAGUUGUGCAACCAUUGCCACAAAUUUUAGAACAUUUUUAUCAUCCCAGAAACAGACCCUUUAUCAUUUAGAUGUCACCUUCAUUCCCCGUAUCUACCCCCCAGCCCCUGCCUGUCACCCCUCAGUGACCAUUAAUCUACUUUCUGUUCUUAUAGAUCUUUUCCUAUUCUGUCAAUUCCACGUAAAAGGAAUCAUUCAAUAUGUCGCCUUUUAUGUCUACCUCCUUUUACUUAGCGUAUUUUCAAAGUCCAUCCAUAUUGCAGCAUAUAUCAGCACUUCGUUCCUUUUUAUGGCUGAAUAGUACUCCGUUGUGUGGGUAUAACACAUUUUAUCCAUUCAAUGGCUAAUGGACGUUUCAGUUCCAUUUUUUUUUUCUAUUAUUCUACCAUGAAUAUUCAUGUACAAGUUUUUAUGAGAACAAAUGUUAUCAUUUCUCUUGGGUCAUACCUAGGGGCAGAAUUUUGGGGUCAUAGAGUGAUCCUAUGUUUAACCUUUGAGGAACUACCAAAUUGUUUUCCAAAGUGACUGUACUGUUUUACAUUCCCAGCAGCAGUAUGUGAGGUUCCAGAUUUCCACAUCCUCAUCAACCUCGCUAUUAACUGUCUUUUCUUAUUUUAGCAUUCUGGUGGGUGUGAGAUGAAGUACUUUUCAUUGUAGUUUUGAUUUGCAUUUCCCUACUGGCUAAUGAUGGAUGUUGAGCAUCUUUCUAAGUGUUUAUUCGCCAUUUAUAUGUCUUCUUUGUUUGUUGUUUUAAUUGUUUUAAUGUUUCUUUAUUUAUUUUGAGAGAGAGAGCACUAGCAGGGGAGGGGCAGAGAGAGGGAGAGAAAAAAAUCCCAAGCAGGCUCCUUGCUGCCAGCGUGGAGCCCGAUGCAGUGCUUGGUCUCACUACCAUGAGAUCAUGACCUGAGCUGAAAUCAAGACUCAGAUGCUCAACCCACUGAGCCACCCAGGGGCCCCUGUGUGUCUUCUUUGGAUUAAUGUCUAUUCAAAUCCUUUGCCCAUUACUUAACUGGUUAUUUGUCUUUUUACUACUGAAUUGUAAGAGUUCUUUAUAUAUUCUCAUUAAAAGUCCUUUAUCAUAUAUAUGAUUUGCAAACAUUUUCUCCUACUCUGUAGAUUGUCUUUUCACUUAUUUGUUUUAAGUAAACUCUACCCCCAAUGUGGGGCUUGAACUCAUGACCCCAAGAUCAAGAGUUGCAUGUUCUACUAACUGAGCCAGCCAGGUGCCCUUGCGUUUUCACUUUCUUGAUGGUAUCCUUCGAAGCACAAAAGUUUUAAAUUUCAUAUAGUCUAAUCUAUUUUUUCUUUAGUUGUUUAUGCUUUUGGUGUUAUAUCUAGAAAACCAUUGCCUAACCUGAGGUCACAAAGAUUUAUUCCUGUGAUUGUUUUCUUCUAAGAAUUUUAUAUUUUUAGGUCUUUGUCCCAUUUAGAGCUGAUUUUUAUAUAUCACAUGAGGUAGGGGUCCACUUUUAUUUAUUUGUAUGUGGAUAUACAAUUGUCCCAGAAUUGUUUAUUGAAAAGACUUUUGUCCCUAUUGAAUUUUUGGCACCAUGUUGAAAAUCAAUUGACCAUAAAUGUGAGGUUUUAUUCUGGACUCUGAAUUCUGUUCCACUGACCUGUCUGUUUACCCUUAUGCCAUUACCACACUGUCUUGAUUCCUGUAGCUUUGGAGUAAGCUUUGAAAUCAAGAAGUGUGGGUCCUUUGAAUGUUGUGGCUUUUAAUUUUUUUUAAUGUUUAUUUAUUUUUGUAAGAGAGAGAGCAAGCAGGGGAGGGGCAGAGAGAGAGAGUGAGAGAGAGAGAAUCCGAAGCGGGCUUCAUGCCCAACACAGGGCUCUAACUCACAGACCAUGAGAUCAUAACCUGAGCUGAAGUUGAAUGCUUAAUCUACUGAGCCACCAAGGCACCCCUGUUGUGACCUUUAAAGGUAAUUUGUCUGUUUUAUUCUGACCGCUUUUACUAUUUUCUCCUUGUCUUUGCUUUUCUGCAGUUUCACUAAUGUGUAAGGCAGUGAAUUUUGUAUUUAUCCUGCUUAGGAUUUGUUGGAUUCUUAAAUGUAUGAUUUAAUGUGUUUCAUCAACUCUGGAAAUUUUUGAGCCAUUGUUUCAUCAAUUAUUGCCUAUGUCCAUUCUUUCCUUUCCUUUCGGACUCUGCUUAGACCUUUUCAUUGUGAUAUCAUGUCUCUUACCCGCCCCUCUGCAUUUUCUUUUUUUCCCAUUAUGCAUCAUUCUUGGUAUUUCCUUCUGACCUGUAUUCCAGUUCAUUAAUUUUUCCUUUACUAUUUCUAAUCUGCUGGUAAAAUUCUUUCAGUUCUUAAUUUUGGUUAUUGUAGUUUUAAGUUCCAGAAUUUACAUUGUUCCCCCUGUUUAACAUUUGUAAUAUCAUUUUUUUAAAUUUUUUUUUAACAUUUAUUUAUUUUUGAGACAGAGAGAGAGAGAGCAUGAACAGGGGAGGGUCAGAGGAAGAGGGAGACAUAGAAUCUGAAACAGGCUCCAGGCUCUGAGCUGUCAGCACAGAGCCUGACGCGGGGCUCGAACCCACAGACCGCGAGAUCGUGACCUGAGCCGAAGUCAGACGCUUAACCGACUGAGCCACCCAGGCGCCCCUGUAAUAUCAUUUUUUAAAGUUCCUAUUUCCCAGCCAAAUUUUCCAUUCUUGGAUUUUAUUGUUUUGUAAUCUGUGCUGAUCAUUUCAAUAUCUGGAGACCCUAUGAGUCCACUACUAUGACCUGUUGUACCUACUGUUCUUAUUCAUGCUGUCUGAUGUCCUUGGGUUAUCUUUGUGUACUGGACAUUGUUUUUGAAAGUUAUUUAUAGAAAUACCUUGAGGCUCAAGAUAAUAGUGUCUUUCUCUAAAAAGAACUUAUUAUUUACCAGCUCUUGAGGGCACUAGCAAUCCAGAACCACCUGACUUUGAAAUUUUCACCCUAGCCCCUCCAUGCAACCACAAUUGCAGUUCAGCCUUUUCCAGAGCAAAGCCCCAGGGCAUAAGCAACCUUCAGAAGAGACUUCACUUCUCCACUUUCCCCUCUUCAGUAUCUCAGCAUCACAAUUCAGCAAUUCCUCAAAUCUUGUUACUUCUCUGAUGCUUUUUUUAAGUUUAUUUAUUUUGAGAGAGAGAUAGAGAGAGAGAGAGAGAGAGAGAGCACACGCAAGCAGGGGAGAGGCAAAGAGAAGGAGAGAGAAUCCCAAGCAGUCUCUGCAUUGUUAACCCGGAGCCCAACGCAGGUCUGAACUCACGAACCAUGAGAUCAUGACCUGAGCUGAAACCAAGAGUCGACACUUAACCGACCGAGCCACCUAGACACCCCACUGAUGCUUUUAAGAUGACUUUUUAAAAGUUUAAGUUUUAUUGGUAUGAAGGUUAAUUUUAUUUGAAUUAUCUAGGUGUCCAUAUCCAGAAUUGGUAAACCCUUUAAUCCUCAUUUGAGGAGUCCGAUAAGCAGCAAUAUCUUCAGAGAAGGUAGGAUCCUCACUGUGCUACGGGAUCGAUCCUGGUUGGACUAAGCGAGUCAUGGUAACCCCCUUUUUCUAUGCCUGAGGUGGGCAUAUGACCCACUUUUGGGGGGAAAAAGAGAAAAACUCCUGGGAAUUUGUGGGUGAAUUCUUGUGCCCUUCUGAAAGAGAGCUGCUGGGGGACCAGAACCCUUUCUCUUCUUUGUGCUUCGGAAUGAUGUUGUGUAAGUCACGCUUGAAUCUAUGGCAACCCUUUUAUGACUGAGGGAAAAGCUAAGAAAUUUGUAGGGAUAUCAGUGAUAUUGAUAUUGAUAUUGUUGAGCUAUCUAAAAGCCCUGAAACUCUUUGCUUCUAGACCUUCUUCUUCUUCUUCUUGUUUUUUUUUUUUUUUUUUUUAAUGUUUAUUUUUGAGAGAGGGAGAGAGUGAGCAUGGAGGGCAGAGAGAGAGGUGGGAAGACAUAGAAUCUAAACCAGGCUCAAGGCUCUGAGCUGUCAGCACAGAGCCCGAUGUGGGGCUUGAGCCCACGGACCAUGAGAUCAUGACCUGAGUCAAAGUCGGACACUUAAUUGACUUGAGCCACCCAGGCGCCCCUUUGCUAGACUUCUUAAGGAAAUAAUAAACAUCCUUAUGGUUUCACUGUCGGUCAGAUUUUCUGUUGUGUGCAGCCCAAAGCAUUCCAAACUGACAUAUCAUCCUUCAGGACUCAGCUUGAAAGGCCACCACUUCAGGGAGGCCUUCCUGAAAUCCCCACAUCAACACAUUUAGUGUCCCUCAUCAUAUUUGUAAUUAUUUGUGGAAUGAUAGUCUUUUUCUCUGGGCUGUAAAGUUCGUGGGAACAGAGACCACAGUCGGGUCCUAGAGCCCAGCCCAAUGCCAGGCAUGGUAGCCUCUAAAUAAAUAAUUAUCCAAAAAAUAAAGGGUCAAGAGCCCAAGUACAUGGAGAAACUGGAUAAAAAUCCUGGAGGCUAUGAAUUAAAAUUUGUGCAAUUAUGUUUCUAACACAUGAAAACUUUUAAAGCUCAAAGAAUCAUUACAGAAGGGUUGGAGUGGCCAUCGUGAGAAAGGGUGUGAGUGUUUAUCUGGUACAAGUAAGAGCUGCCAAGUAGUGUUAAAGACCCAGCUGGGAUUAGACCCCAUAAAUGUGCAUUGGCAUAAAUCGGCAGAAUUAUGAGAUUUCUUCCAGCAGUGUUCAGCUGGCUAGAUGUGUGAGAGAAGUGGGUAAUUAAAUUGAUCCAAAGAUGGGGAUUCUCAGGAUGGACUGCUUUUUGUUCUGUUCACUAGUGAAGUAAAUAAAAGUAGCUAUGGAAUUUUAUGUAUUUACUUUUUUAUUUUUUAAGUUUAUUUAUUUUGAGAGAGAGAGAGAGAGAGAGAGAGAGAGUGAGCACAAGUGGGGGAGGGGCAGAGAGGAGCAACAGAAUCGCAAGCAGGCUCCGCGCCCACUGGCGCCCUUGGAAUUUCAUUUUUUAAUUUUUAUGUUUGUUUAUUUUAUUUUGAGAGGGAGAGAGAGUGUGUGCACGCAUGUGUGUGAGUAGGGGAGGGGCAGAGGAAGAAGGAGAAAAAGAGACAAUCCCAAUGCCGGUCUCAGUCUCACCAAGGUGAGAUCGUGACCUGAGCCCAAACGAAGAGUGCUUAACCGACUGAGCCACCCAGGCGCCCCUGACUUUUCACUCUCUCAAUAAAGUAAAUCUCUUAAAAUUCAAAGCCAUGCUCUUUUGUUCCAGACUGGAGAAUAUCCCCCGGCUGAAACACUCACCCCAGAAGUCUUUCCCAUCACCCACUUGCCCUGGAAAGGCUUGAGGAGGGGGGGGAUCUGUGAAUUUCUUAAGGGGUGUGAGUGUGUGUGCAUGCACACAUUUUCCUGGGGCGAGUGUUAAAGGGGUCUGUGAUCGAGAAAGGCAAGAACCACUGAUGUGGAGUUGGCUCCUAGGCACGGACCACUGUGUGGAUCAGGGCUUGAGUGGUGAGUAGUCCCAGCCCUUGCUUAUUGAAGAGAGGCCGUGUGGUACAGUGGUGGGCGUGCAGACUCCAAAGUCAGGCAUGGGCUAUGCCACGCAACUCCUUGGUUUUCUUCUCCAUAAAGUGGAAACGAUAAUCACAGUUCCUUACCUCAGAGGCCUGGAACAAAGAUUAAAUGAGUUAGUACAGGGGCACCUGGGUGCCUCAGUCAGUUAAGCUUCCAACUCUGGAUUUCAGCUCAGGGUAUUAUCCCAUGGUUCAUGAGUUCGAUCCCCACAUCGGGUUCUGCACUGGCAGGUGCAGAGCCUACUUGGGAUUCUCUCUUUCUCUGUCCCUCCCCCCCUUUCAAAAUAAAUAAACUUAAAACAUUUUUUUUAAAGGGGCACCUCGGUGGCUCAGUCAGUUAAGCGCCUGGCUUUGGCUCAGGUCAUGAUCUCACAGUACAUGAGUUCAAGCCCCAUGUCAGGCUCUGUGCUGACAGUGCAGAGCCUGAAACCUGAUUCAGAUUCUGUGUUUCCCUCUCUCUCUGCCCUCCCCUGCUCACACUCUGUCUCUCUCUCUCAAAAAAUAAAUAAACAUUAAAAAAAAAACUUAAAUUUUUUUUAAAUAAAUGAGUUAAAUGCAAAUGCUUAGCACCAUGCCUGGUAUUUAGUGAAAGCUGACUUUUAUUAUAGCUGAUUGAUGAUGAUGCAUUGGGACACACAUCCGAGGACAAAGACCUUGAAUCAGGAGGCAGCGUUUGAGGGUACACAGCUGCUGCUGAUUUGUGCAAAGCACACAAUCUAAGCAUUCUCUCCCCUCUGACACUGUGUGACUCAGGGCAAACUCCUUAGCUGCUCUGUGCCUCAGGUAUCUCACCUGUAAUAUGGAGAUAAUAAUAGUAACUGCCUCGUGGGACUGUUGCCGGGGUUCUCUGCAGGCUUAGAGCAGUGACUCCAAUUCAGUAAGUGCUUGGUUGUUUGUCUGAUUUUUUAGGUAGGCUCCAUGCCCAACGUGGGGCUUGAACUCAUGACCCUGAGAUUAAGAGUCACAUGUGCUACGACUGGGCUAGCCAGGCGCCCCACUGCUGGCAUUAUUAUUAUCACUGUCUAGGUACAUUCAGCCUCCUUAUUCUGAUAAGAGAGGCCCUUUCCAGGUGUUUCCCACAGCCUUCCCUCAUGCUGAAACCUUCACAGCUCACAGCACCUUCAUGCACACCAUGUCUGCCUCACAGAGGCUGUACACAGUGAAGAAUUAAGACUCAAAGGAAGUGACUAACCUAAGGUCUCUCCACCUGCCCUCUGCCUCAUCGUAUUCCCUUCCAAGAGUGUCCCCCCUGUCUCUCCCCAGUUUCCAUCUGUAGCAAUCCCACUCCUGAAACCCCACACCUUUCAUAAAGCCUUCUCAACUCAGAAUCCCUGCGUUGAACCCAACACACGACUCGUGGGUGCGUGUGCCUCACCGCCAGGCCUUCUUGCCCCUCUCACUGCACCUCUCUCCAUUCUUUGCACCGCGAAGGCUCUCGCCAGAGAGCUGCAGGAUGGAGGAGAUCAAAGACGACGGUUCUACUGGCCCGGGAUGUUCCCAUGUUCAAGGGAAGGAGGGAGGAGUCCCCAAAACACUGAUCUGCACUGAACACACAGACAAUGGCCAGACCAUAUGGGAAAACAGACCUCGGACAUCCACAGCCUGCAGAAACCCGCCCAGGAAAUCACCUCCUCAAAUACAGUAAACCACCCAGGUAAUCCAUAGGUCCCGUUUGUAACAAGUCAGACUAUGUCUAGGAACAAUUCAGAAAGCUAACCACUAACUUCUAGAAUAGUUGGCUCAAAAUGGCCAGAACUGACAACUUCCCUAACUUUUGUCCACUGUGCAACUUAGGACCAGCCAGAGAGUCAAAUAUGCACCCCCAACCAGUCAUACAGGAUGCCUGGCUUCUAGUCACCUGCCUUCCAGCUUCCCCACGCCAACAGCCUCCAGAGAAGGCACCAGGUACCUGAAUCUUUCCCAUUUCUCUGCUAUAAAUAAAGCUUUACCACCCCUCCACCUACCCUGGAGUCUCUUUUAAAAUGCAAGUGACCAUGGCUGACUGACUUCCCUUGCUGUAGCAAGCUCUUGAAUCAAUAGCCUUUGCUUUUCUCACUUGUUCGGGCUUCGUUUAUUGGCCCAGGAAUGGCAGCUCAGGGAGCGAGGCGAGGACGGGCCUCAUCAGUACCCUUGGUCCCACUGGGGUGGAGCUCAGAGCCCUCAGACGACAGAGUUGCUGGCUGGUCCGCUGGAAACACUGAUCAGACCUUUGGACUCAGCUGAGCCAGGGCUGGAGAUGCCAAAUUGACUCAGAUUAAAUCCCCCGGGCAUAAAAUCACAAAAGAGUUUUUGUUAGAUGCUGAUUGGGAAGGAGGGGCCCCAGAGAUCUGGGAAAAGGGUAGGACAUCUGGGAAUAGAGAAAUGAGGGAGAGGCAGGAACUUUGCCUAGAGCGGGAGCCAAGGAUGGCCUGGAGCUACUUUGAUGGGAUGGAGAGUUGAGUCACGAUUCAUAUCUGAUCUCCAAGAUUCUUUAGUCAAUGCAGAGACAUUUACUGAGUGCCCCCUUCUGGGCACUAGAGGUGGGACACGCAAGGCCUCUGACUUCCCGGAGCUCGUGUCCUGGUGGCAGGGGCGGUAGAUGGCUACAGAAGUCAGACAGCUUCAGAAGAGUAAGCGCACUGAGGAAAAUGAAAUGGGAUGGUGCCCUCGAGAAGGAGUGCCGAGAGCGGGGAACACACGAGAGUGGCUGGGGAGGGACACCAGAAGGAACCAGCACUGCAGCCAACAGGGGAAAUGGUUUUCCUAGCAGAGGGAGCAGCUUAAGCAAAGACCCUGAGCUGAGACCUGGGUGUGACAGAAAGGUCGGUGUGGCCAGAGCUGUGUGGGCAGAGGGUGAUCGUGGCUGGAGGGGACCAGGAGGGACGUUCAGGGACACCACGAGUAGAGGGCCUCCCAAGCCAUUCUAAGAGUUUAGAUUUUAUUUGGGCCUCAGUAUAACGGAGUUUUUGAAAGAAGGCACUGAACAGCUUGCUUGCUUAAGCUGCUCCAUCAAGGCCUUAGAAGCUCUCCUUUGUUGAAAUCUUGUCAAAUCCUGGCAGGCAGGGGAAGUGUGUAUGUGGGGUAACAGUGUUAAGGAGAGAAAAUGUGGAUCAGACCCAGACACGUCACAACCAGAAUUCCUUGCUGAGUAGGAUCAAAAGGGCCACAAGAGUGUGUUAUAAUCCCCUGAAAUUGCACACUAAUUUGUGUGUGUGUGUGUGUAUAUACCCUAUUUCAGUGAGUUUUUUCAAACUCUCAGAGGAAUCUCUGCCACCAGAAAAAGCCAGAAAGGGAGAAUAUUAACUUCUAUGCUAGCAUACCCAUGCACCAUCCCAGUAAGGACACAGAUACUGCCCCGAGGAGGGGAAGGGGGGGCGGGGCAGGACAGGGAACUUUCCACUGUGUACCAUGUGCUUUACCUAUUUUUAAAAGUCCACUUCAGUGUAAAGGACUGAAGCUGGAGAGGAAUGGAUGGGUGGGGAAGAAGGUGCCGAAGCCUUGGUGUGGCCAGGGAGGGGCAGCAACACAUAUCUGCUGGUCCUAACUUGACGGCCCCACCCCUAGCCUGUGCUCACAUGCCUUGCACUGGAGAACCCCGCCCAGAGAGGCCGCACUGGCCCUGAGCCUGCCCAGAGCUCAGCUGCCCAGGGGGCACCAGCCUCACUGCCCCGGGAGAGGGACAGGAACAGAUGCCCUCUGCUCAAGUCACCAAACUCUGCUCAGGUCACUGUCCUCUGCCCAUGUCCCGGGCCCCUCUGGUCCCCAAACCUUCACAGAGAGAAGCCCGAGCCUCCUGAACACCCUGCUGACCCCACCAGGAGCUCCUGGCUCUGAUCUGAACCCGCCUCUUUUCCCAGCCUCUUGGUUGGUCAUUUUGCUUUGAGUCAAGUCCCCCUUGCUCUGCUUUCGUGUGGUGCCGUGCCCAGCCCCAGCCUGGCAGAUGGGAGCUGAGAUGGGGGUGUUUUCUCUAAUUCUCUCCAACAUCUCGGCUUGGAUUUGCUUCGCCUCCCCAAAAAUAGGUCUGGCCCAGCCUUCAGGACCCACCUGUUCUCAGCGAUCAGCCAGUGGGCAGGGACCAGCCUCCCUGGGGUGUUCACUUCUUUGGUGAUUCAGGGCCACGGGUCAGAGAGCAGAGUCAGCCGCUGAUGACAUUUCCCUGCCAGGAUGCAGAGCAGGUGAGGGCCUCCUGGUCCACCCUUGGAGAAGGGACCAAGGAGGUUCUAUGCAAGUCAGUUAAACCACAGAGCAGACCUUGCAACACCUUCCUCCUGAGGCCUUGGGACCAGACGGGGGUAUGCAGGCAGACACCUACACUUGCAUAGCCAAACAAUUCUACGGCCCAUUCUUCUAACUCUAGAAUAAGUGCAUAAUAACACCAACCGAUAUUUGUGGGGACUUACUGUGGCCAGGCGCUAUUCAGUUAAAGACUUUAUGUGUAUCACCUCAUUACGGGGUGCCUGGGGGCUCAGUCAGUUAAACGUCUGACUUCGGCUCAGGUCAUGAUCUCCCAGUUCACAAGUUCAAGCCCUGCAUCAGGCUCUGUGCUGACAGCCCAGAGCCUGGAGCCUGCUUUGGAUUCUGUGCCUCCCUCUCUAUCUCUGUCCCUCCCUUGCUAGUAUUCUGUCUCUCUCUCUCUCAAAAAUAAAUAAAAACAUUAAAAAAAAACAAAACUCGGGGCGCCUGGGUGGCGCAGUCGGUUAAGCGUCCGACUUCAGCCAGGUCACGAUCUCGCGGUCCGUGAGUUCGAGCCCCGCGUCGGGCUCUGGGCUGAUGGCUCGGAGCCUGGAGCCUGUUUCCGAUUCUGUGUCUCCCUCUCUCUCUGCCCCUCCCCCGUUCACGCUCUGUCUCUCUCUGUCCCAAAAAUAAAUAAAACGUUGAAAAAAAAAAAAAAAAAAACACAACACCAUAGGCAGUGGCAUAGGGAUGUCCCCUUUGCACACAGGGAGCUGGGAUGUGAACCCGGGCAGGCUGGGAAUACUGUGCCUGUAGCGCUCAUGAAUGAAAACAAAGGGAUCUGCAGAAGGGCCCCACAACCUUGCACAAAUGGGAUCCGAUCUGUGGCCCAGUCACCAGAGGACAAAAGCAUGGGUCCUGACUGUUCCACACACUGAGUGUGCAAUGCGGCUCAUUCCAGCCUGGAGUAAGAGUCCCUGGAUCCCCCACCACUCUGCACUCCAGGAACCUGUGGCCCAGGGCAGCUCAAGACCUCCUGGACCCUUUCUUUUGUAACAUAAGGAGACAGCCUACACUGCUUCACCCCUCCCAGUGCCAAAAGGCCACUUAUCACUUAGGGUGACUGUACUUAAGCCCCCACUACCCCCCCCCCCCGCAGGGAAUCCAGGCUGAGCCCACCACGCCUUCUCCCUGCCCCUGCCCUAAGUGCUGGGCCAGAAGGUGGGAGACCCCAGUCUCGGCUCCCGCUUGGUGGAAUGUUUGGCACCUCCUGCCUCGUUUUUCUCAUCUGAUGCAUGGCUGGAAUGUCCUCCAGUGCACCCCCACUUUACAAGGUUUGGGGGAAGAUCAGAUGAGAGGAUGAAUCUGAAGACCCUAUAGGGACUGGGAGGCCCUGGGCCUGGUGAAGAGUUUGGGCCCGUGGUGUGUCUCUGAACCCCCACGUGCUGGUGUCUCCCCGCCUCUGGAGCGGGACGGGAUCUGCAGGGAGAGGACGGUGGCUGGUACUGGGCCUAACUGCCCCUCCAUCACCUGACUGUCCAGCUGCCCCCUAUGGCAGCGGACCCUGCCCAGGGGUGAAGGAACAGGGACGGGAGGAGAGCGGCCAGCCACAGCCGGAGCAGGAAAGCUGGGGAGCCAGGCUGGAGUCCCAUAUGGAACAGGAGGCCGCUGAGUAGGGACCACCACACUUCCCAGCCCCGGGAAGGGCAGGGGUCACUGGAGAGCCCAGGAAAUCCCAUCAGGAAUAGUGGCGCACCUGUGUGUUUGCCAGAGGUGACCUGGGCCCGUGGCCACAGGCGCUGGGUCACCUCUUGCUGCAGCAAAGCCUCAGUCUGGUUCUGACUUUUGGUCCUCAGUGUGUUCUGUCUCCCCUAUUGUUCUGGGGCACCUGCUGGACUUGUGCACCCCUUCUUUCCCCCGAGAGUUUUUCGGCUACUCUUGGGGCUUGCUCACCCUGUAUGGCAAAUAUUUCCUUCCUGGUUUAUGUCUCCGGCUCUUCUGGGCUUAUAAUGGCUCAGUGGACAUUUCUGCCUAGAAAUGUCUGGAUUUUGCUGAAGUUUCCCCUCAGCAUACACCACACACAAGAGGUGACUGAGAUUUUUAUCACGCAGUCCUCAACACCAGGUCCUGCAGGGGAAACCAAGAAGUAUGAGGCAAAGCCCCUGCCCUGGGCAAUUCAUAAUCUAGUUUUUUGGGGUUUUUAAAAUAAUCUAGUUAUUCAAAAGUGAGAGGUGCCUGGGUGGCUCAGUUGGUUAAGCAUCCAACUUCGCCUCAGGUCAUGAUCUCAGGGUUCGUGAGUUUGAGCCCCGCGUCGGGCUCUGUGCUGACAGCUCAGAGCCUGGAGCCUGCUUCAGAUUCUGUCUCCCUCUCUCUCUGCCCCUCCCCCACUCAGGCUCUGUUUCUGUCUCUAAAAAAUGAAUAAACCUUAAAAAAAAUUUUUUUAAUAAAGGACUAGGCAAAAUGCCUCUAAAGUUCCACACUGUUCUAGGGUGAGGAGAGAAAGGCUUAAAGAGGACUCUAGGAUUUUGAACAACAGGUGAGAAGUCAGGAGAGGAAGCAGGUUCGGGGAGAAGACUUCAUUCAGUUUUAAGUAAACCGAGUGGACCUCAUCACGACCCUUCCUUCCCCCAGGUUCCAGGUGCCACUGCCACAGACUGACCUGGUGUGUCCCCGCCGGCUCCUCCGCCACGUCCCUCCUCUGGGCGUGUGACCCUGGCUGCGGCAAGGUCAGAGCAAGAAAGACGGACUGACCUUUGCUCCAGGAUAUUUGUCAGCUUCUCUCAGUGAAUAAACAGCUUUGCCGUCACCAACACAGUCUUUCUGGAAACUCAGCUGGCGCUGCUGAGUGCCCAAAGGUGAGGGUGGGAUCCCCGAAAUUGACAAUUGAGUUUCCAUCGCCCUAGGGUCAGGAAAGCUUGAAACAAAUUAUUGAGAAAGAAAUUGAAAUGUGGUUCCUUCAGACCUGUGUUCCAGCACCCAGAUUAGGACCCGGUUCACAGGCAAACCUCCCCAUGAGUGGUUUAGAUGAGGGGCCUCAUGCCCGGGCGUGCACCCAUCACCCAUGGAGCUCAGGAACGAGAUCACCUAGACUGGGGACCCGGCACCUGUAAUUUAAUAAUCCCCACGGGUGAUCGGCAGGCACACCUGAGUGACAGGCCCCCUUGGCCUGGAGAGGACUGCCAUGGCCAGAGGGUUGGGCCAGGGAGAGACAUGGACAGAGAUGGUCCUGGGACACCAGGAGUUCCCUCAGAGAGACUGAGCUGGGGCUUGGCAGGUGGAUGUUCCGAGCACAGAGGGGAGGGAGAGCAGAGGGCCUUCUAGCACAGGCCCUGGCUGAGGGGCUCAGCCUGUUUGGGGUGGGGGUGAAGUUGGAGAGGCUAGCUGUGGCCACAGGGCAAGGCUCUGAAUGCCAAGCUCAGAGCCAGGUAGAUACUGACGCUGCCAAGAGCAGGGAAGGCUGUGAGCAGAGAAGGGAGACCCUCUCCAGUACCGGUGGGCCCUUGUUUGUGCAUUCAGGGCUUUUGAGGCCCCUGAAUGAGCCAAGGCCUGUGGUCAGAGGGCAAGCCCACACUUCCUCCUGCCUCAGCUCGCCUUUCCUUCACAUCAUGCCCCAACUCUUCUAUUUCUGACUUCAAGUCCUUGGCAUGUACGAAAUUCUUGCCUCUCCUUUGGCAGCCCUGCCUGCCUCUGUACCCUUAUUCUUACCCUUUUAUGUCUGCCUUUCUUAGGCCUUCAGCACAGUCUGUCCAGAUUAAUUUGACACCAAACUGGCUUUCUCCAGAAAGGCAGGGAAAGUUCUAGGCACAAGAGUGAGAUUCAUGUGGGGAGAAUUACCGUGGCCCCUUCUUUAAGGCAGUUAGAGUCCUGUGUGUCCAGUAACAACCCAUGAAGAAAGAAGCUAUAUUCUUGAUGCACAGGUAGUAGAAAUGACUUGCUCACAUUCUGGCCCAGAGACUCUGGCUCUGCUCUGUAACAGUGAAAGUGACACCUUCCUCAAACCGUGACUAGGACCCACAUUGCUUCCAGAACCUGCUCUCUCUGUAUACCUCUGCUCUGGUGGGAAAAUUCUUUUUUUUUUUUUUUUUUAAUUUUUAAAAUGUUUUUAUUUUUGAGAGACAGAGAGAGAGCACAAGUGGGAGAAGAGCAGAGAGAGAGGGAGACACAGAAUCCAAAGCAGGCUCCAGGCUCUGAGCUGUCAGCACAGAGCCCGACACGGGGCUUGAACCCACAAGGCAUAAGAUCAUGACCAGAGCCAAAGUUGGACACUUAACUGACUGAGCCACCCAGGCGCCCCAUCUGAUGGGAAAAUUCUUAAUUUACUUGUACAAUUAGGUGAGGGGUUGGAAAUUGGGCCCAUUUAUCACAUGGACUUUUAUUCUCUCGUAGAAGCCUCUUUGGGCUGAGAAGAUAUGUGUCUGUCACCCUCCUUACUUGGGAAAAUGCACUGUGUCCUGCUCUGAAUUCACAUCUGUAGUUGAUCUUGGAACUGGUCACAGUACUAUGUGUGGCCAGUACAUGAAGUGCACUCCCAGACCCAAGACCGAAACAAUAGGUUGCUGUGUUUUCUCAGAGUGCUUGGAGUCCUCGAGCCUCAUCCCCACUACCACUAGCCAGUGCUUGUCCUUCUUUCUGUGACCUGGCCCAUCUUCCCAAGGCACCUUUCCCAUCAGCUCCUGCUGAACCCAAGCCAGUCCACAGCACCACACACUGUGGUCCCAGAGCCCCAGGGCGACAAGGAGUCCGCCAAGCUGGGAAGACAUCACAGAACUCAGUCCUGGUGGCACACGUCUGGUGCCAGAUUUCUUAGGAAGAAAAUCAGCUUCUGCCCAGACAGCAACAUAACUUUUUCCCCCAAUCCCUGGCACAGAGGCCGGGCCACGAUCGCCAACCUGCCGUGAGAACACAGGAAUAUGUCCACUCUGUCACCGGCAAGUCCUGGCAGAGUCUUGCUGUGUUCUGAGACAGCACCCUCAGUGGAGAACUCCGGGCAUCAUGUCGAGGCAGCUUGAAGUCUUCACUGGAGCCAGAGUCUUGAUCUAUGUGGCCCAUCAACUAAAAAAAAAGUUUGAACAGCAUCAUUAACCUAACACGACUUACUUUUCCAUAGGACUCUAAGCUUUCACAUGCAUGCUGUCAUUUUUAUUUUGGUUUUCACAGUGGCCUGUGAAGUAGGUAAGCUGGAUACUGUCGUUAGUCGACGUUCAGAGGUGACAGAGCAGCAGCUUAGCGUGUCUCAGGCCACACGACCCCCAAAUGGCAGAACCGGGACUGGAGUCUGGAUCAGCACCGUCCCCUGACGGUUAACCUCUUCGGGACCCAGUGCCAAGUCUCCCCAGCUUGCAGCAGCAGCGACCGCACGGACCACCAUGGGCUCCCAGGCCCCGCCAGCUGCAAGGGCACGCAGACACUGAUGAAUGUUCUCGAAGAUCCUAAAGACAAGGCUGAGCGGAAGCUUGCAUCAGAGGGACAGGUCCUGGCCAAUUGUUCCCCAUCCCUGGUGACAGGUACCAUCUUAUUAAAUCUGUAAAUCGGUUGUGCUGAGACUAUAACAGAGGAUAUCGUCUGAGGAACCUUCCAAUUUAGCAGACAAUGAGUAUCCGCAAACAUUUUGGGGGCCUGAUCCAGAAGCUCUAGCUUAUGGCCAUGUCUUCCAAACACAUAUGGAAGAAGAUACGCACAUGGGUCCAAACCACUUAGCACAGUUGUCAAAGGACUGAUGAUACUGUAAACUUAAUGGCUGCCAAGGUUAUGUCCAAUCAAUUCAUUCAGUUCCAUAAAG
RNAcentral lists this long non-coding RNA (22239 nucleotides) under Lynx pardinus (Iberian lynx). Lineage: Eukaryota; Metazoa; Chordata; Mammalia; Carnivora; Felidae. The record is from RNAcentral.